RNAcentral lists this ribosomal RNA (406 nucleotides) under uncultured bacterium. Its description in RNAcentral is "partial 16S ribosomal RNA". It matches the Rfam family "Bacterial small subunit ribosomal RNA", at positions 29 to 526 of the family's 1533-position model. The record is from RNAcentral.
AUUGAACGCUGGCGGCAGGCCUAACACAUGCAAGUCGAACGAGUGGCGGACGGGUGAGUAAUGUAUGGGAACCUGCCCGCUGGAGGGGGAUAACUACUGGAAACGGUCGCUAAUACCGCAUACCAUCGGAUGUGCCCAGAUGGGCUUAGCUAGUAGGUGGGGUAACGGCUCACCUAGGCGACGAUCCCUAGCUGGUCUGAGAGGAUGACAAGCCACACUGGAACUGAGACACGGUCCAGACUCCUACGGGAGGCAGGAGUGGGGAAGAGUGCACAAUGGGAGAAAGCCUGAGGCAGCCAUGCCGCGUGUAUGAAGAAGGCCUGCGGGUUGUAAAGUACUUUUAGCGAGGAGGCGGUACUCGCAGAAGAAGCACCGGCUAACUCCGUGCCAGCAGCCGCGGUAAUAC